This 2922-nucleotide ribosomal RNA is filed under the name Klebsiella pneumoniae subsp. pneumoniae. RNAcentral describes it as "23S ribosomal RNA". It matches the Rfam family "Bacterial large subunit ribosomal RNA". Lineage: Bacteria; Pseudomonadati; Pseudomonadota; Gammaproteobacteria; Enterobacterales; Enterobacteriaceae. The record is from RNAcentral.
GGGUUGUGAGGUUAAGCGACUAAGCGUACACGGUGGAUGCCCUGGCAGUCAGAGGCGAUGAAGGACGUGCUAAUCUGCGAAAAGCGUCGGUAAGGUGAUAUGAACCGUUACAGCCGGCGAUGUCCGAAUGGGGAAACCCAGUGCAAUUCGUUGCACUAUCGUUAACUGAAUACAUAGGUUAACGAGGCGAACCGGGGGAACUGAAACAUCUAAGUACCCCGAGGAAAAGAAAUCAACCGAGAUUCCCCCAGUAGCGGCGAGCGAACGGGGAGCAGCCCAGAGUCUGAAUCAGCUUGUGUGUUAGUGGAACGGUCUGGAAAGUCCGACGGUACAGGGUGAUAGUCCCGUACACCAAAAUGCACAGGCUGUGAACUCGAAGAGUAGGGCGGGACACGUGGUAUCCUGUCUGAAUAUGGGGGGACCAUCCUCCAAGGCUAAAUACUCCUGACUGACCGAUAGUGAACCAGUACCGUGAGGGAAAGGCGAAAAGAACCCCGGCGAGGGGAGUGAAAAAGAACCUGAAACCGUGUACGUACAAGCAGUGGGAGCACCUUCGGGUGUGACUGCGUACCUUUUGUAUAAUGGGUCAGCGACUUAUAUUCUGUAGCAAGGUUAACCGUAUAGGGGAGCCGCAGGGAAACCGAGUCUUAACUGGGCGUUAAGUUGCAGGGUAUAGACCCGAAACCCGGUGAUCUAGCCAUGGGCAGGUUGAAGGUUGGGUAACACUAACUGGAGGACCGAACCGACUAAUGUUGAAAAAUUAGCGGAUGACUUGUGGCUGGGGGUGAAAGGCCAAUCAAACCGGGAGAUAGCUGGUUCUCCCCGAAAGCUAUUUAGGUAGCGCCUCGUGAACUCAUCUUCGGGGGUAGAGCACUGUUUCGGCUAGGGGGUCAUCCCGACUUACCAACCCGAUGCAAACUACGAAUACCGAAGAAUGUUAUCACGGGAGACACACGGCGGGUGCUAACGUCCGUCGUGAAGAGGGAAACAACCCAGACCGCCAGCUAAGGUCCCAAAGUCAUGGUUAAGUGGGAAACGAUGUGGGAAGGCACAGACAGCCAGGAUGUUGGCUUAGAAGCAGCCAUCAUUUAAAGAAAGCGUAAUAGCUCACUGGUCGAGUCGGCCUGCGCGGAAGAUGUAACGGGGCUAAACCAUGCACCGAAGCUGCGGCAGCGACACUAUGUGUUGUUGGGUAGGGGAGCGUUCUGUAAGCCUGCGAAGGUGUGCUGUGAGGCAUGCUGGAGGUAUCAGAAGUGCGAAUGCUGACAUAAGUAACGAUAAAGCGGGUGAAAAGCCCGCUCGCCGGAAGACCAAGGGUUCCUGUCCAACGUUAAUCGGGGCAGGGUGAGUCGACCCCUAAGGCGAGGCCGAAAGGCGUAGUCGAUGGGAAACAGGUUAAUAUUCCUGUACUUGGUGUUACUGCGAAGGGGGACGGAGAAGGCUAUGUUAGCCGGGCGACGGUUGUCCCGGUUUAAGCAUGUAGGCUGGUUGUCCAGGCAAAUCCGGAUAAUCAAGGCUGAGGUGUGAUGACGAGGCACUACGGUGCUGAAGUAACAAAUGCCCUGCUUCCAGGAAAAGCCUCUAAGCAUCAGGUAACAUUAAAUCGUACCCCAAACCGACACAGGUGGUCAGGUAGAGAAUACCAAGGCGCUUGAGAGAACUCGGGUGAAGGAACUAGGCAAAAUGGUGCCGUAACUUCGGGAGAAGGCACGCUGGUGUGUAGGUGAAGUCCCUGCGGAUGGAGCUGAGACCAGUCGAAGAUACCAGCUGGCUGCAACUGUUUAUUAAAAACACAGCACUGUGCAAACACGAAAGUGGACGUAUACGGUGUGACGCCUGCCCGGUGCCGGAAGGUUAAUUGAUGGGGUUAUCCGUAAGGAGAAGCUCUUGAUCGAAGCCCCGGUAAACGGCGGCCGUAACUAUAACGGUCCUAAGGUAGCGAAAUUCCUUGUCGGGUAAGUUCCGACCUGCACGAAUGGCGUAAUGAUGGCCAGGCUGUCUCCACCCGAGACUCAGUGAAAUUGAACUCGCUGUGAAGAUGCAGUGUACCCGCGGCAAGACGGAAAGACCCCGUGAACCUUUACUAUAGCUUGACACUGAACAUUGAGCCUUGAUGUGUAGGAUAGGUGGGAGGCUUUGAAGCGUGGACGCCAGUCUGCGUGGAGCCAACCUUGAAAUACCACCCUUUAAUGUUUGAUGUUCUAACGUUGGCCCCUUAUCGGGGUUGCGGACAGUGUCUGGUGGGUAGUUUGACUGGGGCGGUCUCCUCCCAAAGCGUAACGGAGGAGCACGAAGGUUAGCUAAUCCUGGUCGGACAUCAGGAGGUUAGUGCAAUGGCAUAAGCUAGCUUGACUGCGAGCGUGACGGCGCGAGCAGGUGCGAAAGCAGGUCAUAGUGAUCCGGUGGUUCUGAAUGGAAGGGCCAUCGCUCAACGGAUAAAAGGUACUCCGGGGAUAACAGGCUGAUACCGCCCAAGAGUUCAUAUCGACGGCGGUGUUUGGCACCUCGAUGUCGGCUCAUCACAUCCUGGGGCUGAAGUAGGUCCCAAGGGUAUGGCUGUUCGCCAUUUAAAGUGGUACGCGAGCUGGGUUUAGAACGUCGUGAGACAGUUCGGUCCCUAUCUGCCGUGGGCGCUGGAGAAUUGAGGGGGGCUGCUCCUAGUACGAGAGGACCGGAGUGGACGCAUCACUGGUGUUCGGGUUGUCAUGCCAAUGGCACUGCCCGGUAGCUAAAUGCGGAAGAGAUAAGUGCUGAAAGCAUCUAAGCACGAAACUUGCCCCGAGAUGAGUUCUCCCUGAGACUUUAAGUCUCCUGAAGGAACGUUGAAGACGACGACGUUGAUAGGCCGGGUGUGUAAGCGCAGCGAUGCGUUGAGCUAACCGGUACUAAUGAACCGUGAGGCUUAACCUUACAACGCCGAAG